RNAcentral lists this ribosomal RNA (1430 nucleotides) under metagenome. RNAcentral's name for it is "bacterial LSU rRNA". It matches the Rfam family "Bacterial large subunit ribosomal RNA", at positions 1472 to 2925 of the family's 2925-position model. The record is from RNAcentral.
ACGCAGAGGGAUAAGAUGACCGGGGGACAGAUUCCCGGGCAAGCGCAGGAGGUGUCAGGCAGGCAAAUCCGUCUGACAAGCCAAAGGCGUGAUGCGGACCGAACUAAAGUAGGGAAGCAUCUGAUUCCAGCUGCCGAGAAAAGCCGCUAUUGUGUACCAUGUGCCCGUACCGUAAACCGACACAGGUGGAUGAGGAGAGAAUCCUAAGGCCGGCGGGAGAAGCAUUGUUAAGGAACUCGGCAAAAUGACCCCGUAACUUCGGGAUAAGGGGUGCCAGAGAGAUCUGGCCGCAGAGAAUAGGCUCAAGCAACUGUUUAGCAAAAACACAGGUCUAUGCGAAACCGUAAGGUGAUGUAUAUGGGCUGACGCCUGCCCGGUGCUGGAAGGUUAAGAGGAGAGGUUAGAGCAAUCGAAGCUUCGAAUUGAAGCCCCAGUAAACGGCGGCCGUAACAAUAACGGUCCUAAGGUAGCGAAAUUCCUUGUCGGGUAAGUUCCGACCCGCACGAAAGGCGCAAUGAUUUGGGCGCUGUCUCGACAAUGCACCCGGUGAAAUUGAAAUACCAGUGAAGAUGCUGGUUACCUGCGCCAGGACGGAAAGACCCCAUGGAGCUUUACUCCAGCUUGAUACUGGGAUUCGGUAAUGCAUGCACAGGAUAGGUGGGAGGCUACGAGUACGGAACUCCGGUUUCGUAUGAGCCGCUGUUGGGAUACCACCCUUGCGUUACUGGGUUUCUAACCAUGGUCCAUGAUCUGGAUCGGGGACAAUGUCAGGUGGGGAGUUUGACUGGGGCGGUCGCCUCCGAAAGGGUAUCGGAGGCGCUCAAAGGUUCCCUCAGAAUGGUUGGAAACCAUUCGAAGAGUGCAAAGGCAGAAGGGAGCUUGACUGCGAGACCGACGGGUCGAGCAGGUAGGAAACUAGGACUUAGUGAUCCGGUGGUAUGAAAGUGGGAUUGCCAUCGCUCAACGGAUAAAAGCUACCCUGGGAUAACAGGCUUAUCACUCCCAAGAGUUCACAUCGACGAGUGGUUUGGCACCUCGAUGUCGGCUCAUCGCAUCCUGGGGCUGAAGUAGGUCCCAAGGGUUGGGCUGUUCGCCCAUUAAAGCGGUACGCGAGCUGGGUUCAGAACGUCGUGAGACAGUUCGGUCCCUAUCCGGCGCAGGCGGAGGAUAUUUGAGAGGAGCUGUCCUUAGUACGAGAGGACCGGGAUGGACGGACCGCUGGUGUACCGGUUGAGCUGCUAAGCUCAUGGCCGGGUAGCCAAGUCUGGCAGGGAUAAACGCUGAAGGCAUCUAAGCGUGAAGCCCCCCUCAAGAUGAGAUAUCCCAUUCGAAAGAAGUAAGACCCCUUGAAGACGACGAGGUAGAUAGGGCAGAGGUGGAAGUGCAGUAAUGUACGGAGCUGACUGUUACUAAUCGGUCGAGGGCUUAUC